Molecule: long non-coding RNA, 4172 nt
Organism: Leptonychotes weddellii (Weddell seal)
Lineage: Eukaryota; Metazoa; Chordata; Mammalia; Carnivora; Phocidae
Source: RefSeq, a predicted model, not a curated record
UGAACUGUAUGUCAAGCCAGGAAAACCUUGUCCGCCAAGGUGAGGAAAGACCAUCACGAAUCUCCUAGCAGAGACUGGGGUGGGUUUCUGAAAGCACCUGUUGGCUGAGCCCUGGAGGUGGCUGGGGAGCAGAAAGGUCUUGCAGAGACGGCAUGGCUUGAGCAAAAACCACAGGUUCCGGAAAUGCAAAGUGUGUGCAGGCUAGGCGACAUGGAGGAUGUAGUGCAGUGAUAGAGAAGCAGUAAGGUGGAGCUGCCGCAGCCGCCGAGGAGUGUCUGUCCAGGAGCAGAAGCCGUCCUAGACGGAGCAGAGGGCACGGAGGUGGGUAUGGCACCCCCUAGCACUGUGGACCAGGGUGCUCGGAGCUGGGGCUGGAACAGGGACACCAGGAAGAGAGUUGGCCCCAAGAGACCAGCUGGAGCGGGAGGCAGCCAGGUGACUGGCCUGGAGGGGCUUGAGCUUGGUCUCUGAAAGGUCAGAGGAAGAGUAGAGGGUGAUGCCCCUGGUGGCCCCCCAGCAUGGGCAGCAAGGGCACCCUCAGACUGAUAUUUGCCCAGCCAUCCUGGAGAGAAGGUCGCUGGAAAUGUGAAUCUGGAGCUGGUUGCAGCAGCAGCCUGGGUCAGGGCUGUCUUCCCGGGGUCACUGUGGAGGGAAGAGGAGGAUGUGGAAAUGGUAGGAAAGGAAGAGCUGCUUCAUGGGAGACAGAAGAAGAAUGGUCAGAGAGGAAGGAGGGACGCAGGUGUGGCUGCUGUCACGGAAGCUAAGGAGGAGAGAGUUUCAAGAAAGAAGUGCCUGUCUGUCACAAUGCAGCGCAUUCAGAAAGUGGAUUGAUCAGUCGGCAGAGUGGGCAGUUUCAGUGGAGCUGGAGAGACUGGGAAGCUUCCAGCCUCUGAAACCCUCUGGCUGGGAUCUGCCUGUUUUGCCCAGUGUUUUAAAAACAAAAAUGAAACGACUAAAUUAGGUCCAGGAUUGAAAGAUCAGGUGAUUUCAGAUAAAAAUGUCUCCAGAUUUCAGCUUUCCUUUAAAAAAAAGUCUGAAGAUUCACCCUGGGUGGGGGCGGAAGGAACAGGGCCUGAGUAACUGUUACCCCUCUAGAUGGGCCAGACUCCCAGCACCUGGGCAGUUUGGGGGGUGUGGCCAGUGUGGGGCAGAUGGAAGGUUCUUCAGCCCGGGGGGAGACCUUGCUGUAAUUGGAGGGGAGAAGGAAUCAGUGGAGGGCAUGGAUAUUUGCAGGCAGGGCAGUGUGACCCAGGCCAUUGGGAGGACGUAGAAGACAGGGCUCAGAGUCCACACCAGCCCUGGUGGGCUCCUUGGCCUGCUCCUGGUGGAGCAGGUGCUUUUGCUGUGGGGAGGGGGGUGCUGCCUGUGGACGUGUGGAGCAGGGCUCCAGGAGGCUAAUUCUAGGGCCUUGGGAAUUGGCAGAGACCAAGUGGUUUCAUCCCACUGGCCUCGUCGUACAGAUGGGGACACAGGCUUGACAGGCUUGGGGGAUGGAGGAUAGUGGCUUUGUCCAGUUAGUCAGGAUUCUAGGCCUGGGGUCCUGCCAGCCUUCAGGGAUGCUUCUCAACCCCCACACUCCCAGGCAGCACCCCCACCAUCACCCUUCUAAGGAAACGCAGGUGGGGAAGGCCUCAAGUAACCAAUGAAAAAUGAUGGAAUCUGGAGAAAGAAACAUCUGGAAGUGGCCAGGGCCUAGCAGAGAUGACACCCUCCUGCAUCCACCCCAGGGCCAGACCAGUCUUGGAGUUAAGCUAGGGGCAGAAUCAGGGUGGGUAGGUGGGUCCUCUCUCCUCCAGUCCUGGGGCUCCAAACACUAUCCUUACACCGGUGACACCCCGUUUAUGUCAGCCCUCAUUCCCGUCUCUCUCCUGACCACAGACUGGCCGCCAACUGCCUGCCGCCAGCUCCACUGGGAUGUCCAAGCACAUCUCUUUCCGGGUGGUGGCUAAAACAGAACUGUUUUCUCUUGCAAACCUGCUCCUCCCCAAGGUUUCACAGACAGUUCUAGCCCCAAAACACAGACUCGGCCCCGAUUUCUUUUCUCCUCUACCCUCUCAUUCAACCUAUAGAUUCCUGUCACAUCUGUUCCCAAACAGGUUCCUCUCCAAGCCCCCGAGGUCUCCACCCUUCCCCUCUGGGCUCUUCAGCCUUCUCCACGCAGUAGCAGAUGGAGUGGCUAACACAGAAGUCUGAUCUCCUGCAUCCCCCCUCUGCCGAAGGGCUUCGGGCAGCUUCUCAUCAGAUUUAGGAUGAGUCUGCACUCAGCUGCACUGGCCUUUUUGUUCCUCACACAGACCGGGGGCGGGGUCCCACCUCAGGGCCUUUGCACUUGCUGUGUGGCUGACUGCAGUUACUCCCAUCUCAAUCCUUGAGAGCCUCUUCAGGGUAGCCGCCUAGUCAGCCUGGCUGAAUACCGCUCGAGAAUUCCUGUAUCACAUCACCCUGCUUGAUUUUCUUCAUAGCACUUAUCAUCAUCUGACCCUGUUCCAUCUAUUUACAUGUGUACUGGGCGCUCUGCAAGAACAGAGUUGGGUCUGCCUUGUUCCCCGCCCAAGCCCAGCCCUGGGCACACCCCCUGCCUGGUUGCUGCCCCUGCUCACUGCCGCCUGAAGAUUUGCCUGCAGCUGCCACACCGCGCCGAACAGUCUUUCUCGAAGCCAAAGGAGCCUCUACUUGGGGAAGCUGACACCAUGGGGAGACACCCCGGGAGGAGAGCUGAUCCCUUUGGACUCCCCAGUUUGUGAAAAGGGGUUGGAUGUGUGCAGCGCCCUCCAGCUUUGGCAGCCUGAGUUUGGACUUCUGAACAGAGAUGCCCUCAAGAGAAGGGAGGACCUGCAAGAAUACAGCCUUCCUGGAGGAUGAGACACAAAACAGAGACCCUGUGUCAGGCAGAGUGUGGCAAGUCUGGGUCUAGGAUGCAGAACCCUGGGCUCUGGGAGGGCUCCUGUGCUUCUGUCAGCCUCAGUGUUAUCAUCUGUAAAAGGGGUAUCCGUCCUGGAGCUCAAGCGGAGGCGCCUCCACCUGGGAGGGUUUCAGAUGGCCUGAGUGGGAGUCACCAACUCAGGGACUGGAUUCAGAGGCCCUGCCGCCUGAGGGCCCCUCCCCAGGGAAGGCCCCGUUGGCUGUUACCUGCUGAGGUUAUAGUUGAGGGCCAAAGAGUGUCUCCCCAAAAUGUGUUUUAAACCGAGAGGUUGGCUUCAUCCUAGGCCUGGACUGGGAGCGAGGGUGGCAGGGCCCAGUUUGGGAUUUAAAAUGUAAAUAGGCAUUAAGUACUUUUCAGCAUUUAAGGGGAGACAAAGGGAAAUUCACCAGGCGAGACUGUGGAGAAGGUUGCCUUUAAGAUGCAAAUGUGUAUUGUGAAGGCCUGAAUGGGGACGUUGUUAGGGGCCCUGGCCCCUUGCCCCCUGUGGCUGGGCAGUGGGCUCUGAGGGGCCGGUGGGUCUGACUGAACCCAGGAGAAGCGGCCAGAGAUCAAAGGAGUGGACAAGUCGUGCUGAGGCUGAAAGGGUGCAAAACGUGGGGGCUGAGAGAGCUUAGAGUUCCCAGACGCCUCACUUGGAGGGAGCCUGCUGACCCCUUCAGUAGGAACUGGGCCCCAGCUCUGCCGGGAGACUGGGACAGGCCAGGGGGCUGGUUCCUAAGCGCAGCCAGCCCAUGCUAGGGCACCAGCAAAACAGGAGCCCCACAGAGGGUUCCAAUAGGAUACACAUUGUUUAAGGAUGGAGGUAGGUAGUGCGCAUCAGGGAAGAAGCCAGACCUUUGUGGGACCUCACACAGCAUUAAGUUUGGUUUUCAUUCUGAAUUGCAUUAAGCAAGAGGGAUGGCAGGCCCACGUGCACACAUCUGCAUGGGGCCUCGAGGCACCCAGGGACCAUGGUUGUUGAGUAAGAAUCUCCAACCUAGAGAUAAGGCCCACAGAGGUGACAGAGUUGAGGAUGAUUGGAGAUUUGCACCUGUCUCCAGAAUUGAGAGCCACCUCCCUCUGUCCGUUCUCCAAGAGCUGUGAAGGCUGCUGGACCGAGCAGUGAGUGGGUGCAGGAGAAGAGGGAGGUGGGGGCCCGGCCAGGCCCUGCUGUAAGUCAUGCUGCCUUUCCCCAGGUCUUCUUUUCCCCCAUUUCUUUAAAAGCCCAUUAGUUUUUUCUCAGUAAAGUUACUCGUGGUCUAAAACUCAA